GUGCCAGCAGCCGCGGUAAUACGGAAGAUGCGAGCGUUAUCCGGAUUUAUUGGGUUUAAAGGGAGCGUGAGCGGGCUUUUAAGUCUGCGGUCAAAUGUCAGUGCUCAACGCUGGCCUGCCGUGGAAACUGGGAGUCUUGAAUGUGCACAAGGUGGAUGGAAUUCGUGGUGUAGCGGUGAAAUGCUUAGAUAUCACGAAGAACUCGAUUGCGAAGGCAGUCCACUGGGGCAUGAUUGACGCUGAGGCUCGAAAGCGCGGGUAUCAAACAGGAUUAGAUACCCUGGUAGUCCGCGCUGUAAACGAUGAAUGCUCGUCGUUGGCGACAGACAGUCAGCGACCAAGCGAAAGCAUUAAGCAUUCCACCUGGGGAGUACGCCGGCAACGGUGAAACUCAAAGGAAUUGACGGGGGCCCGCACAAGCGGAGGAACAUGUGGUUUAAUUCGAUGAUACGCGAGGAACCUUACCCGGGCUUGAACUGCACAGGACGGGGCACAGAGACGUGCUCCUUCUUCGGACCUGUGUGGAGGUGCUGCAUGGUUGUCGUCAGCUCGUGCCGUGAGGUGUCGGCUUAAGUGCCAUAACGAGCGCAACCCUUGCCGGUAGUUGCCAUCAGGUGAAGCUGGGCACUCUGCCGGGACUGCCAUCGCAAGAUGUGAGGAAGGUGGGGAUGACGUCAAAUCAGCACGGCCCUUACGUCCGGGGCUACACACGUGUUACAAUGGGGGGCACAGAGAGUUGCUGCAGCGCGAGUUGUGGCGGAUCUUCUAAAUCCCCUCUCAGUUCGGACUGGAGUCUGCAACCCGACUCCACGAAGCUGGAUUCGCUAGUAAUCGCGCAUCAGCCAUGGCGCGGUGAAUACGUUCCCGGGCCUUGUACACACCGCCCGU
This 888-nucleotide ribosomal RNA is filed under the name uncultured bacterium. Its description in RNAcentral is "bacterial SSU rRNA". It matches the Rfam family "Bacterial small subunit ribosomal RNA", at positions 505 to 1397 of the family's 1533-position model. The record is from RNAcentral.